UCACUUCUCCCCAUUACAUCAGCAGCCCCCGCCCUUUCCUCCGAGCACCUCCUCUCCUGGAACCGUCGCCACGCACUGGCGCUCCCUUCGCCCACCCCCCGCUCUAUUAUAUGCCCUGAUACCUCCCCAUUAUCACCCGCCCCGCUACACUCCCCCUCUCCUCUUCCCCCUCCGCGGCGGGGGAGGGAGGAAACCCAAGAGAGGAAACGGGGCGUUGAAGGAAGGGACUUGGCGAUAAGAGCGGAGGCCGCAUUGGCCCGGAGGUUGUACAGGCAGCUCCUAUUGGCCGCUCGACCGGAAUCCCCGCCCCUCUCCUUCCCCGCCCAUCCACCCCUCCCCCUCCCCGCCGCCCCGCGGCCCUCCCCCGCGCCCCUGGCCAGCCCCGCGGCGGGGAGGGACCGACUGGGCGAGAGUGGAGUCUCCGGCGGUGUCAAUGGCUCCUCCUGCCACGGAGCAGCAGCAGAAGCAGCGGCGACGGGGCUAGGAGGAGGAGGAGGAGGAGGAAAGGCUCCUUUAAGGAGGAGGAACGACGACGCCUCUUUUUCCCCCUAUCUCCUCCCUUCACACUCAUUUCCCCUUCGCGGAGGAGAGAAGGGGGGGGAGGAGAGAGAAGAGGCCGAAGAAAGAGAAAAAAAUUCGUUUCAGAAAUCUCUUUCAGGGGGUGUAGGGGGAAGGAAGAGGGAAACGCGGAGCCGGGCGCCCCCUGCUCCCUCCCUCCCUUCUCUCCCUCGCUUCUCCUCCUUCUCCCUUCCUCUCCCGCCCGCCCACUCCCCCCGCCGCUGGAGACGCCGCUCGGGAGUCGGCGGGACCGGGCUCCGUCUCCGCCGCCGCGGCCGCCGCGCUUCGCCUCGGGAUCCCCAAGCGGGCGGACGCCCUUUCUUUCUUUCCUCUCGCUCGCUCUGCCCGUCUUUCUGCCUCCGUCCCUCGCGGCCGCCCCGCCCGGCGGCCUCGGCCUUCCCCGCGCUCAGGCCCGGCCGGCCUAGCUCGCUCUCCGCCUGUCUUCCCCAGCCUUUCUCUCGACUCGGGGUCCCGCUCGCCCCCUCCGCCCUCCGCGGCGCCCCUUCCCCAUGCACCCUCUCCUCCCUCACCCCCGUGCGAAGAGACGGGACUUUUGACUUGGAGCUCAUUGUACGGGAGUGA
This 1140-nucleotide long non-coding RNA is filed under the name Oryctolagus cuniculus (rabbit). RNAcentral describes it as "lncRNA (ENSOCUG00000036528.1)". The record is from RNAcentral. Lineage: Eukaryota; Metazoa; Chordata; Mammalia; Lagomorpha; Leporidae.